This 1322-nucleotide ribosomal RNA is filed under the name uncultured bacterium. RNAcentral's name for it is "bacterial SSU rRNA". It matches the Rfam family "Bacterial small subunit ribosomal RNA", at positions 51 to 1380 of the family's 1533-position model. The record is from RNAcentral.
ACACAUGCAAGUCGAACGGAAAGGCCCUGCUUUUGUGGGGUGCUCGAGUGGCGAACGGGUGAGUAACACGUGAGUAACCUGCCCUUGACUUUGGGAUAACUUCAGGAAACUGGGGCUAAUACCGGAUAGGAGCUCCUGCUGCAUGGUGGGGGUUGGAAAGUUUCGGCGGUUGGGGAUGGACUCGCGGCUUAUCAGCUUGUUGGUGGGGUAGUGGCUUACCAAGGCUUUGACGGGUAGCCGGCCUGAGAGGGUGACCGGCCACAUUGGGACUGAGAUACGGCCCAGACUCCUACGGGAGGCAGCAGUGGGGAAUAUUGCACAAUGGGCGGAAGCCUGAUGCAGCAACGCCGCGUGCGGGAUGACGGCCUUCGGGUUGUAAACCGCUUUCGCCUGUGACGAAGCGUGAGUGACGGUAAUGGGUAAAGAAGCACCGGCUAACUACGUGCCAGCAGCCGCGGUGAUACGUAGGGUGCGAGCGUUGUCCGGAUUUAUUGGGCGUAAAGGGCUCGUAGGUGGUUGAUCGCGUCGGAAGUGUAAUCUUGGGGCUUAACCCUGAGCGUGCUUUCGAUACGGGUUGACUUGAGGAAGGUAGGGGAGAAUGGAAUUCCUGGUGGAGCGGUGGAAUGCGCAGAUAUCAGGAGGAACACCAGUGGCGAAGGCGGUUCUCUGGGCCUUUCCUGACGCUGAGGAGCGAAAGCGUGGGGAGCGAACAGGCUUAGAUACCCUGGUAGUCCACGCUGUAAACGGUGGGUACUAGGUGUGGGGUCCAUUCCACGGGUUCCGUGCCGUAGCUAACGCUUUAAGUACCCCGCCUGGGGAGUACGGCCGCAAGGCUAAAACUCAAAGGAAUUGACGGGGCCCCGCACAAGCGGCGGAGCAUGCGGAUUAAUUCGAUGCAACGCGUAGAACCUUACCUGGGUUUGACAUGGAUCGGGAGUGCUCAGAGAUGGGUGUGCCUCUUUUGGGGUCGGUUCACAGGUGGUGCAUGGCUGUCGUCAUCUCGUGUCGUGAGAUGUUGGGUUAAGUCCCGCAACGAGCGCAACCCUUGUUCACUGUUGCCAGCACGUUAUGGUGGGGACUCAGUGGAGACCGCCGGGGUCAACUCGGAGGAAGGUGGGGAUGACGUCAAGUCAUCAUGCCCCUUAUGUCCAGGGCUUCACGCAUGCUACAAUGGCUGGUACAGAGAGUGGCGAGCCUGUGAGGGUGAGCGAAUCUCGGAAAGCCGGUCUCAGUUCGGAUUGGGGUCUGCAACUCGACCUCAUGAAGUCGGAGUCGCUAGUAAUCGCAGAUCAGCAACGCUGCGGUGAAUACGUUCCCGGCGC